RNAcentral lists this transfer-messenger RNA (339 nucleotides) under pig gut metagenome. It matches the Rfam family "transfer-messenger RNA". From Rfam's summary of the family: Bacterial tmRNA, also known as 10Sa RNA or SsrA, is named for its dual tRNA and mRNA-like properties. Its role is to liberate the mRNA from a stalled ribosome. The record is from RNAcentral.
GGGGUUGUACUGGUUUCGACGGGGGUCAUGAAUCUGGUGAAGCUAUCCGCAUGCGAUGCGUUAAAUGGCAAAAUUAAAAUUAAACGCAGACGAAAGUUUUGCAUACGCAGCCUAAGGGCUGCUGUCAGCCUUAGUGCACUCACACAUUAAGAAUCUGGCAUCGACGAUGUGAGAAACGAUAUGCGUUAAGCUUUGCGCGCAUGGGCGUAUCAUGAAGCUACUGAACCUGCAAGGGUGUCUGUUCCCGUGCAGCAGAGGGAAUGUAAAAUGACAGACUAUGAUAGUAGAAGAACAGGGGAUUGGUUUUCGGACAGGGGUUCGAUUCCCCUCAGCUCCACU